CCAAAGCACGGCGCNGAAGACGCCAAGAUGGCCGCCACCACCCCAGGGAC
This 50-nucleotide transfer RNA is filed under the name Ara macao cyanopterus. RNAcentral describes it as "partial tRNA-Phe". Lineage: Eukaryota; Metazoa; Chordata; Aves; Psittaciformes; Psittacidae. The record is from RNAcentral.